This is a non-coding RNA of Picea glauca (white spruce), 121 nucleotides long. Lineage: Eukaryota; Viridiplantae; Streptophyta; Pinopsida; Pinales; Pinaceae. The record is from Rfam.
ACAUGUUUAUAGCAUAGCGUUAAUGCACCAGAUCUCAUUAGAACUUCAUAGUUAAGCACGCUCAGGAUAAAGUAGUACUAGGAUGGGUGACCUCCCAAGAGGUCCUAGUAUUUUACAUGCC